Molecule: ribosomal RNA, 507 nt
Filed under: uncultured bacterium
Lineage: Bacteria
Description: bacterial SSU rRNA
Rfam family: Bacterial small subunit ribosomal RNA
Source: RNAcentral
UUCGAUUCUGGCUCAGGAUGAACGCUAGCUACAGGCUUAACACAUGCAAGUCGAGGGUAGCAGGGUAGCAAUACCGCUGACGACCGGCGCACGGGUGAGUAACACGUAUCCAACCUUCCCAUAACUCAGGGAUAGCCUUUCGAAAGAAAGAUUAAUACCUGAUAGUACUUUUUCAAGGCAUCUUGAGAAAGUUAAAGAUUUAUUGGUUAUGGAUGGGGAUGCGUUCCAUUAGAUAGUUGGUGAGGUAACGGCUCACCAAGUCUUCGAUGGAUAGGGGUUCUGAGAGGAAGGUCCCCACAUUGGUACUGAGACACGGACCAAACUCCUACGGGAGGCAGCAGUGAGGAAUAUUGGUCAAUGGGCGAGAGCCUGAACCAGCCAAGUAGCGUGAAGGAUGAAGGUCCUAUGGAUUGUAAACUUCUUUUAUAGUAGAAUAAAGUGAUCCACGUGUGGAUUUUUGUAUGUAUACUAUGAAUAAGGAUCGGCUAACUCCGUGCCAGCCGCAGC